Molecule: ribosomal RNA, 255 nt
Filed under: uncultured bacterium
Lineage: Bacteria
Description: partial 16S ribosomal RNA
Rfam family: Bacterial small subunit ribosomal RNA
Source: RNAcentral
GACGAACCGUGCGAACGUUAUUCGGAAUCACUGGGCCUAAAGCGCGUGUAGGCGGGCCGGCACGUCUGUGGCUGAAAUCCCCCGGCUCAACCGGGGAAGCGGCCCGGAUACGACCGGCCUGGAGGGGGGUAGGGGAGCCGGGAACUGCCGGUGGAGCGGUGAAAUGCGUUGAGAUCGGCAGGAACGCCCGCGGCGAAAGCGCGGCUCUGGACCCCACCUGACGCUGAGAAUGCGAAAGCCAGGGGAGCGAACAGG